UACGGGGGGAGCAAGCGUUGUUCGGAUUUACUGGGCGUAAAGGGCGCGUAGGCGGCCAGCACAAGUCGGUUGUGAAAUCUCCGGGCUUAACUCGGAAACUGCAUUGGAUACUAUUCGGCUAGAGAGUUGGAGGGGGGAUUGGAAUACUUGGUGUAGCAGUGAAAUGCGUAGAUAUCAAGUGGAACACCAGUGGCGAAGGCGAAUCCCUGGACAACUUCUGACGCUGAGGCACGAAAGCUAGGGGAGCAAACAGG
Molecule: ribosomal RNA, 254 nt
Filed under: uncultured bacterium
Lineage: Bacteria
Description: partial 16S ribosomal RNA
Rfam family: Bacterial small subunit ribosomal RNA
Source: RNAcentral